CGCGAAUUUGCCCUUCGGGGUGCAGCAGGCGCGAAAACUUUACAAUGCUGGAAACAGCGAUAAGGGGACCUCGAGUGCCAGGUUACAAUUCUGGCUGUCCUGAUGCCUAAAAAACAUUGCAUAGCAAGGGCCGGGCAAGACCGGUGCCAGCCGCCGCGGUAACACCGGCGGCUCGAGUGGUAACCGUUAUUAUUGGGUCUAAAGGGUCUGUAGCCGGUCUGAUAAGUCUCUUGGGAAAUCUGACAGCUUAACUGUCAGGCUUUCAGGAGAUACUGUCUGGCUCGAAGCCGGGAGAGGUGAGAGGUACUUCAGGGGUAGGAGUGAAAUCUUGUAAUCCUUGAAAGACCACCUGUGGCGAAGGCGUCUCACCAGAACGGACCUGACGGCAAGGGACGAAAGCUAGGGGCACGAACCGGAUUAGAUACCCGGGUAGUCCUAGCCGUAAACGAUACUCGCUAGGUGUCAGGCAUGGUGCGACCGUUGUCGGUGCCGUAGGGAAGCCGUGAAGCGAGCCACCUGGGAAGUACGGCCGCAAGGCUGAAACUUAAAGGAAUUGGCGGGGGAGCAC
This 568-nucleotide ribosomal RNA is filed under the name uncultured archaeon. RNAcentral's name for it is "bacterial SSU rRNA". It matches the Rfam family "Archaeal small subunit ribosomal RNA", at positions 311 to 879 of the family's 1478-position model. The record is from RNAcentral.